UAGGUAGUUUCCUGUUGUUGGGCUGCUCUUUGUUCACAGUGACAAGAAACUGCCUGUA
RNAcentral lists this microRNA precursor (58 nucleotides) under Callorhinchus milii (elephant shark). RNAcentral describes it as "Cmi-Mir-196-P3_pre stem-loop". The record is from RNAcentral. Lineage: Eukaryota; Metazoa; Chordata; Chondrichthyes; Chimaeriformes; Callorhinchidae.